This 350-nucleotide ribosomal RNA is filed under the name uncultured bacterium. RNAcentral describes it as "bacterial SSU rRNA". It matches the Rfam family "Bacterial small subunit ribosomal RNA", at positions 75 to 425 of the family's 1533-position model. The record is from RNAcentral.
GCAGCUUGCUGCUUUGCUGACGAGUGGCGGACGGGUGAGUAAUGUCUGGGAAACUGCCCGAUGGAGGGGGAUAACUACUGGAAACGGUAGCUAAUACCGCAUAACGUCGCAAGACCAAAGAGGGGGACCUUAGGGCCUCUUGCCAUCGGAUGUGCCCAGAUGGGAUUAGCUAGUAGGUGGGGUAAAGGCUCACCUAGGCGACGAUCCCUAGCUGGUCUGAGAGGAUGACCAGCCACACUGGAACUGAGACACGGUCCAGACUCCUACGGGAGGCAGCAGUGGGGAAUAUUGCACAAUGGGCGCAAGCCUGAUGCAGCCAUGCCGCGUGUAUGAAGAAGGCCUUCGGGUUG